CCUAUAGAGAGUACAAGAACUUGUAAGUAGUGAUUGACUUGUCAACACAAAAGCAUACUCGUUGAAGUAGGAA
This 73-nucleotide non-coding RNA is filed under the name unclassified sequences. The record is from Rfam.